AUUGAACGCUGGCGGAAUGCUUUACACAUGCAAGUCGAGCGGCAGCACGGGAGCAAUCCUGGUGGCGAGCGGCGAACGGGUGAGUAAUACAUCGGAACGUACCCUAUUGUGGGGGAUAGCCCGGCGAAAGCCGGAUUAAUACCGCAUGAGACCUGAGGGUGAAAGCGGGGGAUUCGCAAGAACCUCGCGCAAUUGGAGCGGCCGAUGUCGGAUUAGCUAGUUGGUGAGGUAAAGGCUCACCAAGGCGACGAUCCGUAGCGGGUCUGAGAGGACGGCCCGCCACACUGGAACUGAGACACGGUCCAGACUCCUACGGGAGGCAGCAGUGGGGAAUUUUGGACAAUGGGGGCAACCCUGAUCCAGCCAUUCCGCGUGAGUGAAGAAGGCCUUCGGGUUGUAAAGCUCUUUCGGCAGGAGCGAAACGGUGUAGGCUAAUAUCCUGCAUUAAUGACGGUACCUGCAGAAGAAGCACCGGCUAACUACGUGCCAGCAGCCGCGGUAAUACGUAGGGUGCAAGCGUUAAUCGGAAUUACUGGGCGUAAAGCGUGCGCAGGCGGUUUUGUAAGACAGAUGUGAAAUCCCCGGGCUUAACCUGGGAACUGCGUUUGUGACUGCAAGACUCGAGUGUGGCAGAGGGGGGUGGAAUUCCACGUGUAGCAGUGAAAUGCGUAGAGAUGUGGAGGAACACCGAUGGCGAAGGCAGCCCCCUGGGUUAACACUGACGCUCAUGCACGAAAGCGUGGGUAGCAAACAGGAUUAGAUACCCUGGUAGUCCACGCCCUAAACGAUGCGAACUAGGUGUUGGAGAAGGAGACUUCUUUAGUACCGAAGCUAACGCGUGAAGUUCGCCGCCUGGGGAGUACGGUCGCAAGAUUAAAACUCAAAGGAAUUGACGGGGACCCGCACAAGCGGUGGAUGAUGUGGAUUAAUUCGAUGCAACGCGAAAAACCUUACCUACCCUUGACAUGCCAGGAAUCUCUCAGAGAUGUGAGAGUGCCGCAAGGAACCUGGACACAGGUGCUGCAUGGCUGUCGUCAGCUCGUGUCGUGAGAUGUUGGGUUAAGUCCCGCAACGAGCGCAACCCUUAUCAUUAGUUGCCAUCAUUUAGUUGGGCACUCUAAUGAGACUGCCGGUGACAAACCGGAGGAAGGUGGGGAUGACGUCAAGUCAUCAUGGCCCUUAUGGGUAGGGCUUCACACGUCAUACAAUGGCCGGUACAGAGGGUUGCCAACCCGCGAGGGGGAGCCAAUCCCAGAAAGCCGGUCGUAGUCCGGAUCGGAGUCUGCAACUCGACUCCGUGAAGUCGGAAUCGCUAGUAAUCGUGGAUCAGCAUGUCACGGUGAAUACGUUCCCGGGUCUUGUACACACCGCCCGUCACACCAUGGGAGUGGGUUUCACCAGAAGUAGGUAGCUUAACCGCAAGGGGAGCGCUUACCACGGUGGGAUUCAUGACUAGGGUG
This 1460-nucleotide ribosomal RNA is filed under the name uncultured bacterium. RNAcentral's name for it is "bacterial SSU rRNA". It matches the Rfam family "Bacterial small subunit ribosomal RNA". The record is from RNAcentral.